RNAcentral lists this ribosomal RNA (456 nucleotides) under uncultured bacterium. RNAcentral describes it as "bacterial SSU rRNA". It matches the Rfam family "Bacterial small subunit ribosomal RNA", at positions 339 to 791 of the family's 1533-position model. The record is from RNAcentral.
AUACGGGAGGCAGCAGUAAGGAAUAUUGGGCAAUGGACGCAAGUCUGACCCAGCCAUGCCGCGUGAAGGAUGACGGCCCUAUGGGUUGUAAACUUCUUUUGUACGGGAAAAAACCCCUGGUCGUGUACCGGGGCUGAUGGUACCGUAAGAAUAAGCAUCGGCUAACUCCGUGCCAGCAGCCGCGGUAAUACGGAGGAUGCAAGCGUUAUCCGGAUUCAUUGGGUUUAAAGGGUGCGUAGGCGGGAUAAUAAGUCAGUGGUGAAAUCCUGCAGCUUAACUGCAGAACUGCCAUUGAUACUGUUAACCUUGAGUACAUUUGAAGUGGGCGGAAUGUGUCAUGUAGCGGUGAAAUGCUUAGAUAUGACACAGAACUCCGAUAGCGAAGGCAGCUCACUAAACUGUAACUGACGCUGAGGCACGAAAGCGUGGGGAUCAAACAGGAUUAGAUACCCCGGU